GAUUUUUUGGGCCAUGCUACGAUGAAGAACAUUGACCGUGGCGGAAAAGAAGGCGUCUCGUUGUGUACUGCAAUUGCCAGUCAAUUCAAG
This 90-nucleotide ribosomal RNA is filed under the name Oxyrrhis marina. Its description in RNAcentral is "partial 5.8S ribosomal RNA". The record is from RNAcentral. Lineage: Eukaryota; Dinophyceae; Oxyrrhinales; Oxyrrhinaceae.